CUCUACCUACGGGGGGUAGCAGUAGGGAAUCUUCCACAAUGGACGAAAGUCUGAUGGAGCAACGCCGCGUGAGUGAAGAAGGGUUUCGGCUCGUAAAGCUCUGUUGGGAGUGGAGAAAGAUAGAGGUAGUAACUGGCCUUUAUUUGACGGUAAUUACUUAGAAAGUCACGGCUAACUACGUGCCAGCCGCCGCGGUAAUACGUAGGUGGCAAGCGUUGUCCGGAUUUAUUGGGCGUAAACCGAGUGGAGG
RNAcentral lists this ribosomal RNA (250 nucleotides) under uncultured bacterium. Its description in RNAcentral is "partial 16S ribosomal RNA". It matches the Rfam family "Bacterial small subunit ribosomal RNA", at positions 333 to 575 of the family's 1533-position model. The record is from RNAcentral.